AACGCGAAGAACCUUACCAAGGCUUGACAUCCCAUUGACCACUCUAGAGAUAGGGUUUCCCUUCGGGGCAAUGGUGACAGGUGGUGCAUGGUUGUCGUCAGCUCGUGUCGUGAGAUGUUUGGUUCAGUCCCGCAACGAGCGCAACCCUUAUCCUUAGUUGCCAGCAUUUAGUUGGGCUCUCUAAGGAGACAGCCGGUGAAAGCCGGAGGAAGGUGGGGAUGACGUCAAAUCAUCAUGCCCCUUAUGUCUUGGGCUACACACGUGCUACAAUGGAUGGUACAAAGGGAAGCGAGACCGCGAGGUGGAGCAAAUCCCAGAAAGCCAUUCUCAGUUCGGAUUGUAGGCUGCAACUCGCCUACAUGAAGCUGGAAUCGCUAGUAAUCGCGGAUCAGCAUGCCGCGGUGAAUACGUUCCCGGGCCUUGUACACACCGCGUGUCU
Molecule: ribosomal RNA, 439 nt
Filed under: uncultured bacterium
Lineage: Bacteria
Description: bacterial SSU rRNA
Rfam family: Bacterial small subunit ribosomal RNA
Source: RNAcentral